RNAcentral lists this transfer RNA (72 nucleotides) under Chlorocebus sabaeus (green monkey). RNAcentral's name for it is "tRNA-Glu (TTC) (tRNA-Glu-TTC-5-1)". It matches the Rfam family "tRNA". From Rfam's summary of the family: Transfer RNA (tRNA) molecules are approximately 80 nucleotides in length. Lineage: Eukaryota; Metazoa; Chordata; Mammalia; Primates; Cercopithecidae. The record is from Rfam by way of RNAcentral.
UCCCUGGUGGUCUAGUGGCUAGGAUUCGGCGCUUUCAGCGCCGCGGCCCGGGUUCGAUUCCCGGUCAGGGAA